Molecule: unclassified non-coding RNA, 343 nt
Filed under: uncultured fungus
Lineage: Eukaryota; Fungi
Description: partial contains 5.8S ribosomal RNA and internal transcribed spacer 2
Rfam family: 5.8S ribosomal RNA (bases 1-133)
Source: RNAcentral
UGGCUCUGGCAUCGAUGAAGAACGCAGCGAAAUGCGAUAAGUAAUGCGAAUUGCAGAAUUCAGUGAAUCAUCGAAUCUUUGAACGCACAUUGCGCCCGCCAGUAUUCUGGCGGGCAUGCCUGUCUGAGCGUCAUUUCAACCCUCGUGCCCGGUUCGCCGGGCGCGGUGUUGGGGAUCGGCCGCCCGUCACUGGGAGGCCGGCCCCGAAAUAGAGUGGCGACCACGCCGUGUGCUCCUCUGCGUAGUAGUAAAAACACCUCGCAGGCGGACAGCGGUGCGGCCUGCCGUAAAACCCCCAACUCUUCUAAUGGUUGACCUCAGAUCAGGUAGGAAUACCCGCUGA